Molecule: ribosomal RNA, 375 nt
Filed under: uncultured organism
Description: partial 16S ribosomal RNA
Rfam family: Bacterial small subunit ribosomal RNA
Source: RNAcentral
GUAGGUGGCAAGCGUUGUCCGGGAAUUAUUGGGGCGUAAAGCGCGCGCAGGCGGUUCUUUAAGUCUGAUGUGAAAGCCCACGGGCUCAACCGUGGAGGGUCAUUGGAAGCUGGAGAACUUGAGUACAGAAGAGGAAAGCGGAAUUCCACGUGUAGCGGUGAAAUGCGUAGAGAUGUAGAGGAACACCAGUGGCGAAGGCGGCUUUCUGGUCUGUAACUGACGCUGAGGCGCGAAAGCGUGGGGAGCAAACAGGAUUAGAUACCCUGGUAGUCCACGCCGUAAACGAUGAGUGCUAAGUGUUAGGGGGUUUCCGCCCCUUAGUGCUGCAGCUAACGCAUUAAGCACUCCGCCUGGGGAGUACGGCCGCAAAGGCUG